GACGAACGCUGGCGGCGUGCCUAACACAUGCAAGUCGAACGGAGUGAGACCCUUCGGGGUUUUACUUAGUGGCGAACGGGUGAGUAACGCGUGAGAAACCUGCCUCUCAGUGGGGGACAACAGUUGGAAACGACUGCUAAUACCGCAUAACACUUUAGUACCGCAUGGUACAGAAGUCAAAGCUUUAUGUGCUGAGAGAUGGUCUCGCGUCUGAUUAGCUAGAUGGCGGGGUAACGGCCCACCAUGGCGACGAUCCGUAGCUGGUCUGAGAGGAUGAUCAGCCACACUGGAACUGAGACACGGUCCAG
RNAcentral lists this ribosomal RNA (308 nucleotides) under uncultured bacterium. RNAcentral's name for it is "bacterial SSU rRNA". It matches the Rfam family "Bacterial small subunit ribosomal RNA", at positions 28 to 334 of the family's 1533-position model. The record is from RNAcentral.